This 434-nucleotide ribosomal RNA is filed under the name Pelvicachromis subocellatus. Its description in RNAcentral is "partial 16S ribosomal RNA". It matches the Rfam family "Bacterial large subunit ribosomal RNA", at positions 1969 to 2551 of the family's 2925-position model. The record is from RNAcentral. Lineage: Eukaryota; Metazoa; Chordata; Actinopteri; Cichliformes; Cichlidae.
UUGUCUUUUAAAUGAAGACCUGUAUGAAUGGCAUAACGAGGGCCUAACUGUCUCCUUUUUCCAGUCAAUGAAAUUGAUCUUCCCGUGCAGAAGCGAGAAUACCAACAUAAGACGAGAAGACCCUAUGGAGCUUUAAACACCAGAACAGCCCAUGUCUAACACCCCUUAACAAAGGAAUAAACUAAUUGGCCCCUGUCCUAAUGUCUUUGGUUGGGGCGACCGCGGAGAAACAAAAAACCUCCCUGUGGACUGGGAACACUUUUUACCCUACAACUUAGAGUCACAACUCAAAGCACCAGAAUUUCUGACCCGCAAGAUCCGGCACCAGCCGAUCAACGAACCGAGUUACCCUAGGGAUAACAGCGCAAUCCUCUUCUAGAGCCCAUAUCGACAAGGGGGUUUACGACCUCGAUGUUGGAUCAGGACAUCCUAAU